RNAcentral lists this transfer RNA (81 nucleotides) under Fusarium odoratissimum NRRL 54006. RNAcentral's name for it is "tRNA-Ser (CGA) (tRNA-Ser-CGA-4-1)". It matches the Rfam family "tRNA". Rfam says of the family: Transfer RNA (tRNA) molecules are approximately 80 nucleotides in length. Lineage: Eukaryota; Fungi; Ascomycota; Sordariomycetes; Hypocreales; Nectriaceae. RNAcentral also lists the same sequence under 1 other name. The record is from RNAcentral.
CCCCGGUUGGUGUAAUUAGCUAGCACAUUUUUCAUUGACCGCGAAUGUCGAAGGCUGUAGGUUCAAGCCCUGCACUGGGGG